AUCGCUUCUCGGCCUUUUGGCUAAGAUCAAGUGUAGUAUCUGUUCUUAUCAGAACUAAGAAAUUCUUGAUCAAAAUAUAAGAGAGUGAAAACUAGGACAUUUACUCCCU
This is a small nuclear RNA of 109 nucleotides. Its record names the gene U2. It matches the Rfam family "U2 spliceosomal RNA". From Rfam's summary of the family: U2 is a small nuclear RNA (snRNA) component of the spliceosome (involved in pre-mRNA splicing). The record is from Ensembl.